AGCUAGUUGUUCAACAGAAAAGAGACUUCAGAUAUAUCAGACCCCAAGAGACGAGAGGAGAAAUGCUCUGUCACCAGGCCCAUCGCCCCAAGACUGCCCAGGUAGAUUUCCUGAUCAAAAGGAAGUUUAGCCAGCUACCCCAAUCAGCAAUUCCCACCAGGAUCAGGAAAUUAACCAGUCCUAUUAUGAGAUCUUUGAAUUGCUUAUUUUAUAAUUUAAUACACACUUUAUGAGAGUAGUAGGAACAUGAGGAGGGCAGUAUUGAUUUGGAUUUAUUGUGAAAUAUGUGAAUAGAUAAAAGUAUGAGAGUGCAUAUAAAUUAGGCAAUUAUGAGAUGUGGUGCUAAUGUAAAAAUUCUGCUGAAUAAAUAUAAAAUAUGCUUCUAUCAGCAUCCAGCUUGUGUCCCCAUAGUGCUAAUCAUUUGAGAUGAUAAUUAGGAUUGUGUGUUUGUCUUUUCUUUAUGAGACGAGAUAUUGUGAUGGUGCUCUUCAGUCUCAAUUUAAAUGAGUAUUGAUCUGUGAGAGGCAUAGAUGCUCAAAUCAAAACACAAGUGUAGCACAGCCCACUUGUACAUGCUAUUUGUUUUUUUUUUUUGUGAUUUUUUUCUUUCUAGAGGUAGCCGUGUUUAAAUAUUUAGCAUUCUCUACUUUGAGUUUUUGCUCGUUUACUAUCGUAAUAACCCUUUUUAUCCUUCUUUUAGUUGUAGUGUGCUAAUGUCACGAUUUAAAUGAAGUAUUGAUCAGUUUUAGGAGGGGAGAACAGAGAGAGAGGGAGCGAUUGAGAGGGAAAGAAAGCAAGACCAGGGUUAUCGGUGUGGAUCGCACACAGAAAGAGAGUGCUAACGGAUGGGAGAUGUUUUAGACGAUUCUAUGAAAUGGAUUUCUACAUAAUCUGUAUUUUUUUGAAGCAAGAAGAACGGCCACGCUCUUCUAUUACGUUUGUUUUAAGAGGCAAAUAUGGACUAGUGAAAGACAGCAGUAGCUUGAGCAGACCAUGAAUGGGAAGACAUUUAUUUUUACUUCUGUUUUUUGUUGGAUUCUUGGAGAAGGACGCUCCAUCCUGCCUGUGAUUCCUUCUCAUCAGUGUCACUGCUGGAGCAUCAGGAACACUGGACCAAACACUGAAUCAGGAGCUAGCCUCCUGCAUUCUUUGUGGUUAAGUAGUUGGAAACAAACAGAUGUUCCAAGUUACUUUCUUAACUGGAGGAUGGCUGACUGAACCACGAGGGUGCAACCAAAUACAAGGGAUUGUCACAGGCAGACUCAGCAGGCCAAGAAGCUUUUGAGAAAGGUUCUGAUAAUGAUUGUGUGGCACAGACGGAAGCAGAGAUUGAAGCACUAAUGGAGUGUAAGCCAGUGGAGCCCUCAGGUGACAUGCUGACAAGGACGACUCUAUGAGGACAUCAUGAAGUGGGUGGCACCCUCAUGGAGUGAAAGGCGGGGCCUCAGAGAUUGAGUUGUUUUUCUUCCAGGAAGUUGUUUGGACAUGCCACCAAUGAGACCUGAAGCUAAGGUGAAAUUUGGGCACAAAGAAAUUAUGGUGCAGUCAUACAUGGGUGGGCCUUAUUGGCAUCACAAAUCAAACCUAAUGGCAAGGUCAUACAACAACAUUCAAGACUUUCAUCAGGAGGUUCAAAGAAGUCAACCAACCUCUGAAAAGACAGUUACCAGAUAAGGGACCACCGCUGUUCGGAUCAUAAAGUAGGUACAUAUUACAACAAUUACAACUUCUCUAUGGAUAAACAAUAGCAACAAGCUGGUGCCACCACUGUCACCAUGGGAACCAGAGAUGACAUGCUCUGGAGAGAGACAGACUCUUAGUCAAAACAUUUGAUUGGGCCAGUCUGCUUUCAAGGUUGUGGUCCGAUGUUUUUCUUCACAGCAUGUCAUUCUGAGCCCCAAGUAUUUCUCUUGUGUCAACCUCAUGCUGAGAAAUGAGCGUUUGAUACGCUGGAAAGAAAAAAAAAAUCCUGGCACAUUGCUCAAACCUUUGUAUGUCUUGACUCUGUUACCCUGGGAAAAGUAAAACGGCUGCAGCCUCAAAUACAAGGAGAUGUAUUAUAUUUUGGACCAUCAUUUUAUUCUCAGUUCAGACCAUUUGGCUACCUCCUGUGUAAUUUAGCCCAUUUUUGUUUGUCAAUUAAUACAGAAUGUUGUUUGUUUUUGAGCCCUUCAAUGUAUAUACCCCGCCUUCUCCUAACCGUGACUGUGAUAGGCUCCAGCAACUCUGUGACCCUGAGAAAGAUAAAGCAGGUUUGGAAAAUGGAUGGAUGGCGUAGUCCUGGAGAGGCCAGUGCUUUGGUGGGCAGUAAGGUGGAGUUCCUGGAGUGGUCAUUUACCAGGACGCUGACAUAAGCCCACCCCUGGAGACAUUCGCACAUCUCUGCAUCAGGAUGCUCUCAUUUACCGCCUCUGGGCCCAACCAUUGAUCUCCCUUCCCUCUGCUUGCAACCGCACUUUCCUCUCUCUUACUUUUUAAUUUUCCUCUCCAAAACAAAUCCCACAUUAAGCAGCCAAGAGUAGCUUGAUGCAGCGCUUCUCCUGAAAGAGCAACAGAUUUAUGUAAUUUCUUUUCCUCUGUGGCUUCUCCUACAUGUCCACGCACAGAUCAUUGCACACAAAGGCCUCAUUUUUAUCUU
Molecule: long non-coding RNA, 2638 nt
Organism: Oryzias melastigma (Indian medaka)
Lineage: Eukaryota; Metazoa; Chordata; Actinopteri; Beloniformes; Adrianichthyidae
Exons: 6
Source: RefSeq, a predicted model, not a curated record